Molecule: long non-coding RNA, 23617 nt
Filed under: Prunus persica (peach)
Lineage: Eukaryota; Viridiplantae; Streptophyta; Magnoliopsida; Rosales; Rosaceae
Description: long non-coding RNA (PPER_LNC007323)
Source: RNAcentral
GAUUUGGGCAAUAAGUUGCUCAAUUGUUUUUUUUUUUUUUUUUGUUGCCAAAGUGGGGAGUGGGAAAAACUGACACACAUAAGGAUUUAAACGCAAGACCACUUAAGAGCACACCAAAGACAUGGGCCAAUCCAACUAACACCCCCAUUCGUCAGCUCACUUCAGACGAUAUGGGUUUCCUUAACUGUGAAUAUGAUCGUGAUACUUGUGAGUUUCACAUUGUGCAAGGAAAAUUUUGUGCACUUUCAUAAGGUAAAAUGUCAAUUGGAGGAGAGCAAAAGGAGCAACACGAAUUUUAGAAAUAUUUGUAGCUACUGUUCUUCCAUUCAUAUUUUUUCUAAUUCUCGAUAUUGUCUUGGUCACAUCCUUGAAAUUAAACAAAAAAUAUGAGAAAAACAAACAUCGGCCAUUUUUCAUGAAACAAAACAGAACUAGCUAAAAAUCUUGAAAAAUAGGAACUCGCACAUUGAGAUCAUUUGGAGCUUCCUUUGAACAGCAAAUGACAAGAUACUCGUAGGUUUCGGCAGCCCCUCAACGGUUGGCCUUGGCAACUCUUUCAAUCUCAUCCUUCUUCUUUAUAGCGUAACUGAGCACAAACAGAACAACCAAUAGUCAGAAAAGUAUCAAGUUGAAGAAAACGAAAUUAGACUAAACUAAACAUAACAAAACAGAAAUAAACAAUGAGAUAGAUGAGCUUUCAGAGAAAAUAAACAUAAAGAAAGCAAUGUAUCAGUACCUAUUAGAUGAACCUUUUGCAGCAUUAAUCAGUUCGUCGGCCAAACAUUCUGCAAUAGUUUUGAUGUUUCUAAAAGCAGAUUCACGAGCACCAGUUGUAAGGAGAUAGAUAGCCUGAUUCACGCGUCUCAAAGGUGAAAUAUCCACAGCCUGACGCCUAACAACUCCAGCAGAUCCAAUACGAGUUGCAUCUUCUCGUGGACCACUGAUGGUCACAAAGAAGACAUACAAUUGGAAUCAGUAUUUCCAUAAGGGUCACCAUCCAAUGUGGUUAGAGUACCCAGAAGACUUCCAAAGUCAGAAAGUAAUCAGGAUCAAUUUUAUUAAAAGACCACUUGAGGUUCCCCUCCAGCAUCAAUACCUUCUACAGACCCUAAGCACAGGGCAAGUAUGCAAUUACUAUGAGGAAUAUAAUAACAAAUUUGCAUCCACUUACCUAUUAACAACAGCGUCAACAAUAAUUUGAAUGGGAUUCUGAUCAGUCAGCAAAUGGAUAAUUUCCAUUGCAUGCCUAAUGAUCCUUACAGCCAUAAGUUUCUUCCCAUUGUUCCUGCCAUGCAUCAUGAGUGAGUUUGUAAGCCUCUCCACUAUAGGGCACUGGGCUUUCCUGAAUCGUUUGACUGAGUACCUCCCGGCAGUGUGAGGUACAUAAGUUGCAUGCUUGGCUGGGACAACUCCAACAUAGUCCGCCAGUGAAAUGUCACUGACCUAUAUGUUACAAAUAACAUGAUUAUCAUUUUAAAUAUACAAGGGAAAUAGAUUUCAGUAUUUGUCUAACACAUGAAAAUUAUCUAAACGUCCAUAAAACUUUACCAAAAUAAAUUAUUUUUAAAAAACACGAAAAAACUUAAAAUCAGUGUAAAGAUGAAGCCAAGGGCACCAAACAAUAAGAAAAUCAACUGUUAGCAUUAGCCUACUAAGUUACACCUACUGUGAAUCAAAUCAACACAAGGACACACAGGAUGCACUUAUUACAAAUCUAAAACCUAACAAAAGCCAGUCCCAAUUACCGACAUUUAGCAACACAUACGCUAUGUUUUCUUCCGACUACCCAACAGGGGAAACAUGCAUCUAGACACAGUAUUUAAGAGCUCAAAGUACAGCUACAUUAAACCUGAACAUCAUCGAAGCUCCAGCGGUUGAACAGCUUCACGUCAAGGUGAGGCUCAAUUGGUACCGUUUGUACCGUUGGUGCCGUUGGUGCCGUUGGUUCCACUGCAACAGACAUGGCUCUGCAUAACGCAAUCGAAGAUCUAAGGUUAAGAGUGUUAAAUUGAAAAAGAGGUUGGUUGUGAUUUUAAAUUCUUUGUUCAAUUAAAAUACUCACUGAAAAUUCAAGUAUAAAAUGUGAAAGGAAUUUCAUUGUAAGUAACAACGACGAAUGAUAAAGCUUACCUCUUCGUCGGAGGUUGGACCUUCAGACGAGAAUGCGAGAGAGCUUGUACAGAGUGGUGCUGAACACAGGAAAACCCUAGUUCAUGUUUAUAAGCACGACUGACCUGAAAAUUACCUUAAGGUCCUUUAAGGGUAGUAGGGUCUUUUCGUUUUUAUUUUAUUUUUAUAGAUUACAAUGUUUGAGAUUCAUCAAACUUCAAAUUAAUCUCUCUCUGGUUUUUAUUGCUAGAUUAAGCCUUGUGCAUUGCCGUCUCUUCAAUCUCAAUAUGAAUGGAUUAGUCAAGCCAUUUUUGCCUUACUUGUUGGCUAUAUAUGCACAAGCUGGAUGGUAAGCAUGUAAGGCUCGCAGAUUAUUUUCAUGUGGAGGGACGAGCACAUGUGGCUUUUAAAAUUUCGACCUCUUGUUUGUUCAUAUAAUUGCUUUUCACUUGCUUCUGAGUCAUGACUUCCGCCAUAUCCUUGAACCAUAAGAUGUUUUUCCUCUUUCAAAAAAUAUUAAAGCCUAAAGCUAUCAUGAUUUUCACUUCUAGCAUCCAGCAGAUAAAGUCGGGAAUAUAGGAGCAUCUACAUGAUUUCUCAACGAUUUAUUAAAAAUUUCAACUUUGAAGCAGCAGCAAACUAUUGAGACAAAUUUGAUACUCAAUACCUCAGAGCUCAGGGUAGAAGGAAAUCAAAGAUUUGACACAGAAACCAGGAAUAUUUGUUACUUGUUCAAACAAAACCUAGGGCUUUUUUCCGACAUAGAAGUUUAGCAAGAUUCGAUAAAGAACUCACAUCAGAACAAUCAAGUCUACGUUGCUAGUAAAUACCAAGACACAUAAACUAAAAAAAAUACGAACAGAGAUUGGCAACACAACUGCCAUUCAUCAACAUAAACAACAGUUGCUUGCAAGUAACCAAAACUUCGAAGUUCAAGCAUCAACAAACAAGAGCCAUCUCUGAUCAACGCAACCUUCUAGCUUCCCUCUCAGACUCGAGCAAGGUAAGGAUAUCCCCCUCCCUCACUGGUCCCUUGACGUUCCUCAUGAUGAACCGGUUCUGGUCAUCCAGAAACUUGACUCUAACUUGAGUCACCUGCCCACGAGAUCCAGUCCGGCCCAUAACUUUCACCACAACAGCAUGCUUCACAGUGGAGUCCAUUCUACACGCAAAUACAAAAGGAAAAUUAGCAAGAGAACACUCUUGUAGCAGUCGGUCGCCACCAGGAAAGCAACAAAGUCAAGAGGCCAGACUAUUAUAUUCAGCAUUACGAUAGGAAAUAGAACACGAGCUACAAACUACAAAAACCGAGCAAAGAACUAAAUGGGGUAUCAUAAUUUCAUCUUAUUUUCCGAUAACUGAAUCCUCGAAAAAUAUCAGAAUUAUACAGCAGCACCAAAAAUUGUCCUACAAAACACACUUCAAUUCCAUAGCACACUAGUAAAUCAAACCGAAACACCAAACAAAAGCCAACUACAAGCUAAUUACAAUUUUCAAUGUACAUGAACACAAACAGAACAUAAGUCAUAAGUUAUUUUUUCCCCAUAAUCCACUUUGAUUGAUGGCAUAAGGAAAGCUGCAAUCAACCAGAUCUAAUUCCCUAAACAAAUAAUGAGCAUAAAUCUUGAUUUAUACAGUCACGAAAGUUUGAUAUAAUUCCCUAAUUCCAUGAACACUUUUCUCAUCUUAUUUUAAAGAUCUAAAAACAACAUAAUAACAGUCAUAAUCUGAAUUUAUGAGUAUUGGGUUGAGUAAAUAAUCCAGCCAAAAACGCAAACAGCGAUUGAAAGUUUCAGAGAAUAAAUCGCUCAAUAAAGUAAAUAAAAAUGCAAACAGAGAUUGGAAAUAACAAUACUGAAGAUUACGCAUUUACAGAAGAGUGAGAAAUUCACCUUUGGUAGAGAGAGAGUCUUCAAAGGAAAAGUGACGAGAAGGAGUGCGCGGCUGCGUCAAGGAGAGAAAAAAAAUGCGUGCGUCUGCGUUUAGGGCACUAGGGUUAUCAAAGGUUUUUCUUUUAUAGUGAUUUUUUUUUCCUUUAAAAAUGUAAUAUUUUAUUUAUUUAUGGAUUGCUUAUUCAAAGCCCAAAUACGACGUCGUUUAUCAUUUCCACUGCAUCAUCUUCUCGUCUCUCUCUCGCUCUUGCUCUAGCCCUGCCUCGGUCCAGCAUUAAACCCAUCUCUCUCUCUCUCUCAAUGAAGCAUUCUCGCUUCAGUUCGCUGUUCAAUUUGUAUUCUCGUUUCGGUUUCCGAAACGUACCGGGCGUUUCGCUGUACUCGACGGCUACAGAUCCCACAUAUCAUCAUAGAAAGUGCUGGAAUGGUGCCCUGAACAACCUCUACGGUCGGAUUUCUCGAGUCGGAGAUCGCAAUGCAUGCAUUUUGCCGAUUCUCGACGAAUGGAUUGAAGAAGGCGGAAACGCAGAGAAAGAUGACCUCGUCACCAUAAUCAAGGAGCUCAGGCAAUUCAAGUACUAUAAGCACGCUCUUGAGGUAGGUACUAAUUUCUGUUUGGUUGCUCAGAAAGUGUGGAAAUGGAAUUCAUUUAGGGUCUUUAUUUGGUUUUGUAUCUUUAAUUUAUCAAAUAUUAUGUUCAACUCGGUAAAAUUGAAUUGUGAAUGGAUUGAAAUUCAAAUUAUGCUAUAGAGUAGCUUAAUUCUGUUAGCUUAACUGCUAAAUGGGAGUGCUUUCAUUGUAAUUUGGAGGAUUUAGACUGCUAAUGGUGAGAGCAAUGCUAUAUAGACUUCAAAAUAAGUCAGCCCAAGUAGCAAAGUUUUCAUCUUUUUCAUCUUCUUCAUAUUUGGAUUUCUGAAGAGAGAUUGUAUGGUAUGUUGGCAACCCCAGAUUCUGAAAAUUGUUUUUGGUUUAUUGAUUCGCAGGUAUCUAUGUGGAUGACUGACAAAAGGUACUUCAGCCUUAUGAAGGCUGAUGUUGCCAUCCGGCUGGACUUGAUUUCAAAAGUUCAUGGAAUUGAACAAGCUGAGAAUUAUUUUGAAAACAUUCCAAAACAAUUGAAAGCUCUCGAGGUUUACUGUACUCUCCUCAACUGCUAUGCCCAUGUAAAACUUGUGGAAAAAGCCGAGGCCACCAUGCAGAAGAUGAGGGAUCUGGGGUUCGCCAGGACACCUUUGGUCUAUAACGCUUUGCUCAAUUUGUAUUAUAAGACUGGAAACACUGAUAAAUUUGACGUUCUGCUGAAUGUAAUGGAAGAGAGUGGCAUCAGUUGUGACAGAUGCACAUAUGGGAUCCGUCUCAGUGCAUAUGCUGCUGCUUCUGAUCAUGAGGGAAUUGACAAGGUUGUGGCAGAAUGGGAAUCCAAUCCUGGGUUCCAGGUGGAUUGGAUUAAUUAUUCCGUUGCGGCAAAUGGUUAUGUGAAAGUAGGAAAUGUGGAAAAGGCUUUGGAAAUGCUAGAGAAGUCUGAAAAACUGAUAUCAAGCUCUGAAAGACCGAGGGCAGUAUAUGAGCACCUUAUGACUCAAUAUGCAGUAAUAGGGAAGAAAGAUGAUGUUGUGAGACUCUGGAAACUUUACAGCAAGCACAUGAAAAUAUACAAUAAGGGUUAUAUAGCCAUAAUAACCUCACUCUUGAAGUUUGGUGAUGUUGAAAGUGCUGAGAAGAUCUACGAAGAAUGGGAAUCCAGGGAAUUAACUUUUGAUAUUCGUAUACCUAAUCACUUAAUUGGUGCUUAUGCCAGAAGGGGCCUUUUUGACAAGGCUGAAGCCUUUCUUAACAGGAUAAUACUUAAGGGUGGGAAACUGGAUACACGGUCAUGGUUUACUUUGGCAAGAUUGUAUCUUGAUCGUAAUCAAAUUGAGAAGGCAGUUGAGUUGAUGAAGAGAGCACUUUUGACUGAGGGGCCUCAGUGGAUGCAUGACAAGGGUGUUUUGGCUGUCUGUUUGCGACACAUGAAAAAGAGAGCAGAUCUGGAGGGAGCGGAGGAGUUUAUAAGACAGCUCGGGGAUAAUUGUGUUAUCCCCGUAAGUGUUCAGGAGAGAUUGUUGGAUUAUAUUAAUAAAGAUGAUUCAGUCUCUAGAACCAGGUGAAGUGGAAUGGGAUGAUCUGAAUGGAGAUAAAGAAACAAGUGGACCUUUAGAAGCCGAGGGGACUAGUAGUAGUUAGGAUUAGAGACUCCUGAAAAUUUAGGUAAAGGCAAGUCAACAGCAGGGACUUGUAAAGAUGUGCGUGAGGAUGAAGCUGACGUGUAUUCAAGAUAUCAUUUUUCUGUCAAUGAAGAUGUUGCUUUUGUUUCUCUAAUCUGAUCAUGAAGUUUGCUGCAUAUAUAGAGGACUUGAAUGAAUUUUAUUUUGUAUUUUUCCUAUUCAUGAAGAUGCAGAAAUUCCCUGAACAAUUUUCUGGUACUAUUGGCAUGCUUGUGUCUACUAAAAACCACUCUUGAACUGCAAUUUUGAGGUUCCUGAAGAUUUCUUUGUAUAAAUAAGCUGUCAUCUACAUACCCAACAAAGGGAAAUUAAUAAUGAGCAGUAAAAAGACACAAACCCAACUCAUUUAAAAUUGAUCAACAAUUCCAGCAAUUGAGAUGUAGUGAAGUAGAGAGUGGGGAAUAGCUCAGUUGAUUGAGCUCUUUGGCCUCAAACUCUCUGGACAGAGGCUUGAAUCUCCCUUCCCAAUCGCUUGUACUAAAACAAAAUGCGGCUAAGUAAUUAAAGCUCCUACUAAAAAUAAGUGUUUAGCGGAGGGUAAUAUUGGUAUUUUGCAUUUUUUUUAUUUAUCUGAUUCUGGAUUUUAUUAAGUGACAAAAUAAACCAACCUCCUAUCGAAAACCCUGCCAAAAUGGAACAAAACCUCUCGGCCCAAACCCUCCCCAACUCACUCUCCAACCACCAAGACGACGACGAGGCCGCCGCCGACGACAAUGACCCACCGUCCCUAAGCCUUCAAGCCCUAGAAGCUCUCAAGGAGUUCCUAGCGGAGCAAAGCCAGCCCUUACCUGAUACCGCCGCCGAGAGCCGAGCCGCAGACUCGGCAGCUCCAGCUCUCAUCUCCGAAGACUGGAGACUGAGCCAGUUCUGGUACGACCCCCACACCGCCGAAACCCUAGCCCAAGAGGUCCUCACUCUCUGCAACUCGCUCCCCGACUCGGCCGCUAGGGUUGCUUGCGUCGCUUGCCCCUCACUCUACGCCUACCUCAAGGUCCCUUUCAUCUUUUCGCUCUCUGGGUUUUAAUUUAAUGUUUGUUUGUUUUUAAAUUUAAUAUUUUUACUGAUUUUUAUUUAUUUAUUUAUUUCUAUUUUCAGAACAAUGAUUCUGAGGUGCCUGUGCAACUGCUUGAGUAUGACAAGCGGUUUGAGCAGUACGGGAGUGAUUUCACGUUUUAUGAUUAUAACCGACCUGAAGACUUGCCAUUGGAGCUCAAGCAUGCUUUUGACAUUGUAGUUGCUGAUCCCCCUUACCUGGUGAGCAAAAUUAUGCUUCUUUAUGUCAUUUGGUUCAGUGUUAUAACUUAUGGGUAUGUGUGUUAUGUAGCAAAAUAAUUUGAAUCUGAGUCUUCAUGCACUCUGUAUGAAUUAAGAUCUACCAUCGAAAUACAUUUUCGUGACUGUGUUUGUACCAUGCUUGGUGACUGCAUUGCUUUUUCUACAUCUCUCGUAUAGAGGUCGAAUCUGUAUUCAUAGGUAGGACUGUGAAGUUGUGGUUAUGAACCAAUUGCUGAUAUAGUAUAACUGGUGUUUACAGAGUCGGGAGUGCUUGGAGAAAGUCGCUCAAACUGUUUCAUUUCUUGCACGAUCAGAAAAAUCUUACCUGCUUCUCCUCACAGGUAGACAUUUCCCUCCUAUAUAAUUGGCAAAACAUAAUAAGAAUAUUGCCAUUCCUGCACAAGCUACACUGUAAUUACUGUGCUACAAGACAGGAUUAAAACAUUUCACCAAUGAGAUUUUUGUUAUUGGAAUCAGAAAUUGAACAAGUGUUAUUGCUAGCACCUUUCAGUUUGUUGCAACUAACUGUUAUAUGAUGACUUGCAGGAGCGGUGCAGAAAGAGAGAGCAGCCGAACUCAUGGGAUUACAUCCAUGUGGUUUUAGGCCUCAACACUCUAGCAAACUAGGAAACGAGUUUCGGCUAUUCACAAACUAUGAUCCUGCAAUGAGAUUAGAAGGGUGGGAUGUUGAGAAGUAGGAACUCUGUAUUCUCGUGUGACCCUAAACUGGUAAGCAUAGAUUGGUCGGGGGAAAUUUCUUUCUUCCGACUCGGUAUUAUGUAGUGGAAUCUUACAUUUUCUGUGUGAUAAAUUUUGUUGUUCUCAAUGUCAUCUCCACAUGCUAUGAGCACAGUUAUAAUAUUCAUACUUAAUUAGGACCGAGUAUUUUGUGAACUCUGAACCGUUCUGACUUCUGAGCAUGCGGUAAUCAUUGUACUGGCAUUUUCUUUCUUUUUUACCAAGUUAUAAAUAAUGCCUAGAGCUCUAGAUGGUGGAAUGUUACUGUGGUUAUAUGGGUGAACUUUUGUCUGCAGAUUCAACUGCUGGAGAAUCAAACUGUGUCGCCUGCUAGGCAUAUUCUGGAUGCUAGAAUGAUGAUGUCAGAAUCUGUCAUGUGGCAUCAAUUCAGGCUAAAGCAGAUCAGUGUACAUUGCUACUCCAGUCUGUUUUAUCAUCUGUAGUUGUUUUUCAGUUUCUUCAACUCCCCACCCAACUUUUGUAAGCCAAAUUUGAUUUGUUAUGUGUAUUUGCAUCGCCCAAAAUUUCACAGGAUAGAAAUGUAUCUUCUUUUUUUAUUGGAAGAUAAAUCUACAUCCUCAAAUCAGUACUUGCAUCUUGACAAAUAUCAAUUCUCUCUUUAUUUGCUUAGAGUCUUCGAGUUUCCUUCCUCUCACUCACUCAACAGAAUAAGAACACUGAUGGGAGGGACAGAGAAAGAGGAGGAGAGAUGAAAAGUGCUAUGCUUCCAUGUUAAUUUGUUUCAUUUGAAUGGACAAAAUAACCUUAAAUUUAACAUUAAAGGCAAAUCGGCACGUUUUAAAAGUUUGAGUGGUUCAUAACCAAAUUGAUAGUUCGAGGGGCUCAUAGCCAAAUUGAUAGUUCGAGUAGCAAAUCUGAAGGUCAUUACUUUAUGAGACAUUGCUCAUAACCUCACACCAAUCGUUGGAUGUACAGUGCAAUUCAUCAAAUGAAAAAUCUAUGUUACAAAAUACUUUUCUAACCAAUUUGCAUCUUCUACAAUGGCUCUCUUCUAGGCAAGCCAAAGUAUUCUUUCUGCAUUAGAGACGACCUUAAACAUGAAUUUUGGUGCAGAGCUUCUUCAUAGGCAUCUGUUUUCGGUUGAAGAAUAUGAGUCUUGUGUCGAAUGGCGGAAUUAUGCUCGGGUUUGGAUGAGAUCUAACUCGGUGCAAAUUUGUGGAACUUUCGAAACUUUGCACUCCUUGUUCGAGAAGAUUCAAAGAAGUUACUCUCUUCACAUAGAUAUUUUAGAUACAACUCAAACAACGUGUUCCAAAUGAGAAAUUCCUUAAUUAUCAAAACAAAAUUAGGGAUUAAAACAAGAGAACCCUUCUUGGAUUUAACCCGGUGUCCAAUUUAAAUGCGGGCCUUCUCAACCCAACCCACGAUUUGUUUCAUGGACCCGACCCGCCCGUAUUUCACGAUCCGAGUUGGAAAAGAUGGAGAGUUCGAGAUCCCCGCACAACGCAAACACAAAAAAGCGAUUUGGUGCUCUCCAAGACUUACUUCCAACUAAAGUUUUUUCAAAACCAAGUCACAUAACUGCAGCAGCAGCAGCAAGAAGAAAUGAGGCCAAACAUCGUUUCCGAGGUAAAUCUCACAACUCUCCGAUGCUCUCUUUCCCAUUGGUUUUUACCUUCAACUUCGCAUAUUUCUCAGAGAGUUAUAGUUUUCUCUUAAUGUUUUGUUUGGUUGCUGAGAAAAUGCGGAAAAUUUUGAAUCUCGUUAAGUACAGCACGAGGUAAUUUUUUUCUUGGAAAACUGGCAAUAUGUUAAACAAUGGAAUUUAGUUGCUUUGAGCUUCUCAAUUUUUGUUGCUAAAAAUAUGCAGAUUUUUUUUUGGGGGGCUAAAAAUGGGCAGAUAUUUGAGUUACAUUUGUACUCUGCUCUCAUGAAUGAUCUGUUAGGAGUUUCUUACUUCUUCUUCUUCUUUGUUCUUUAUUGCACAUAUGUACUUUCAUGUUUGAGCUUGUCUUGGUUGUGUUUAGCUGCAACAUCAUGAAACUUAAAUAGACCAUUGAUUUCUUUAUUUAUUUUUUUUAUUUUGAAAUUAGUAUUUACUUGGAUAUUCAUGGCUUGCGUGUUUGUUUUUAUAUCUAAUUAAUUUUGUGUUCUAGUAAAUUUCAUAUUGAUUCUAUGUUUGGGUGUAUAGGCAGGACUGCAAACUAGGUUGGGGCAAUGGUGGGAGAGCAUUCCUUUUCUUACUUCUGCGGUGGUUGGCGUGUGUGGAACUGUUUACUUGAUCUGUCUCCUGGUUGGAUAUGACUCCUUUUACGAAAUAUGCUUUUUGCCCUCUGCAGUUCUAUCAAGAUUUCAAGGUAAAUUGUUGAAACUGAAAUCUGACAUGAUUGGUACAUUCAUUGGUCAGUUUUGAAUUUAUUAGUUAUUGGAAAGAAGUCCAAUUUUCCCAACCUCUUUCCUGGGGUUAAACAUGCCCUUCCCUGCCCCUCAUUCUCACACUAUUAUUCUUGAUGUUUCACUUCUGGAUAUAAUUGAGGAUUGUGCAACUUAACAUCUUUGUUAUUCUUCUGUUCUGAUUUCUAUAAUUUUGAUGAUGCUACUAAAAUUUUACUUUGCCACAAAGCAGAGGUCCAUCAUUUUUUUUUUUGGUCAAACAUCAUUUCAAGUUAUGUUCAAGUUCACAUGAUUUUGGUAAUAGACCUUAUGAUUUGUAGUCCUUUAUACUAAUAAACAAAUUAAGAUUAUUGUAUCAUGUUUUAUAUUCUUCUGGUGUUGUCACUAUUUCGCCAAUAUUGGAGAUACUUUGUUGCAUGAAUGUGGAGGCUUGAAGUUUUAAGAUUAAUUAAGUGACUUUAACACCAUUAGUACUGUUUAGCUGUUUUGGUUGCUCCCUUGGAUUCUUUUAUGUAUAAGUCCAGCACACUGGGCUAGAAACCUGCCAGUAGUUUCUUCGAUUUAGUAUUGCCCUAGAUCAUGAUCUUUUAUGAUCAAGCUACAACCUGUAUUUUAGUUCCUCUAUUAUCAAGCUACAACACAAUCUUUGUGUCACCUGCCUGGCCCAAUUUGAAGCCUCGAAUAGAGAAUUGAACAGCUGUUCGUUUUGAUCUCUCUCUUUUUCGUCAAUCAAAAGCUCAAUUUAGCUUAUGUUUAAUAAUCAACAAAAAUUAUUUGGGUGAUUUGUUCUGUUAAUAGAUAAAAAGAAUAGCCUGUUAUUGCAUGCACUCUGACACAUCUCAUGGUCACUUUCUGUUCUCCUUUUCAGUCUACAGGAUUUUCACCUCCAUUAUCUUUCAUGGUUCAGUGCUUCAUGUAUUGUUCAACAUGAUGGCAUUGGUUCCUUUGGGUUCUGAGUUGGAGAGAAUCAUGGGAUCUGUCCGCAUGUUGUACAUAAUCUUUCUUUUGGCCAUCAGCAAUGCACUGUUUCAUCUUACGAUUGCGCUUUUGGUGGCCUAUAAUCCCAUUCACUCUGAUCCGUAUCUCAUGAAUGAAUGUGCAAUAGGCUUCUCGGGAAUCUUGUUUUCUAUGAUUGUGAUAGAGACAAGUCUGAGUGGACACCAGUCUAGAAGGUUGGCUUUUCUAAUGUUUAAUUUCAAAUGUAUUACAUACCAUGGUUUUGUUUUUUCACUGAGUGAGAAUUUUGCAAAGGCUAUCUUUUCCCUAACCUAGAAUAAUUAGAUAUUCCGAAGCUUUCAUGUAUUUGAUCAUACAUAUGGGUGCUAAGACAUCCACCGCAUACACAGCUGCACAUUAGAAUUCUUUUCCCUUUUUUCUUUCAUUCUUGACAAAUGUAUUGGAUUCUACUAACUCACAAACUUUUCUCUCUGCAGUGUCUUUGGACUCUUUAACGUACCUGCUAAAUGGUAAUUACAGUAACAUGCUUAUGUGAUGUCUAAUUCUGUUCAUUUUACAUUGCCUUUUUUGGUAAUAUUUUGACAUAUUUACUUAAAUAUCUGUUUCAGGUAUGUAUGGAUCUUGCUGGUAGUGUUCCAAGUUGUUAUGACAAAUGUUUCUUUACUGGGGCACCUAUGUGGCAUUUUGUCUGGCUUUGCAUGUAAGUUUUCUCCCAUUCUAAUAUUAUUCCCCUCUUCUAUUUUGCUGUGCCAUGUUACACGAGGGAGUUGGUGACAAUUCUAUGUCUUGUCUUUACAAUACAGAUACUUACGGAUUAUUCAAUUUCCUCAUUCCCGGACCAUCCUUCUAUUCUACAAUUGAGGCCACCUCGUUGCUUGUAAGUAAACUGCUUUUGAUGAUCGAUCAAUUUGGAAACUUACUAUUAUUCUUUUAUCUUUUCCAACCUGUGCAUUCAUAAUUUGCAUGGAUGUCUAAUUGUUGUUCUUUUAAAAUAUUAUGUUUUCAGUCAACUUGUGUGAGGCGGCCUAAAUUUAUUUUGUGCACUGGUGGGAAUCCUUCAGCCUUCAUCCCUACAUAUUCAAGCCAAGGUACAGCAUCUAGGUAAGUAAUAUUUUUUUGUUUUUCAAUGUUUCCUUGUUGAAAAAUUAAGCACCUUCUGCUCUUCUUAACAGACUACAAUUAUAUGUACUAUAGUCGUAAAAUGAUAUAUUUUCUUAACCAGUGGAUUCUCUGCCGGAAGUGUCUGGAGAAACUUGUCUUCAUGGAUUCCACAGAGGGAAACAUCUGCACAGGUUUUGUUUUUCUUUUUCUUCCACUUGUGUUAAUGCUGUUUUACCCUUCAAUUCAAUCUUUAAAAUUGCACACUUCGUUGUAAUCUUUAACCCUCGGUGUUUGGUGAAUGUAGAUUAAGUUAUUGAAUUUGAUGACUUCCUAUUGUAAUAAUGCAGUCAGCACAAGACGGUCACAUGUUUCCUGGGAGGGGAAGAACACUUGGAUCUGGUCGAAAUACUGCUUCUGAUGCUAAUUCAGAAUCAAACUUACAGGUUAGACUUUUGGAUAAUAGCAACUCAGAACAUCCAUCAGACAUGGCAGUUAUUGGUACAGGACAGCAGUUAUCUGAUGGAAGGUACUAGGAAAACUUCCUGCUUCUAGGUUAACGAGCUAUUUCUGUUCAUGGAUUGUGUUUUUCAGUUUACAAGAAAUUUGGUAGUUAGUUCAUCACUUGUAAAGGCUUUCUUGUUCUUUCACCCAUGCAUUUCUAUAUUGAACGGAUUCAGAAGAGUUUUUCUCGUUGAUGAGAAAAGAUAUGUAACUGAGGUUACACUAUCGCAACAGUCUUUCACGUUGAUUAAGAUGCAUGAGUAAUUUUUUUCCAGAUGUGGAAAAGGUUAUAAUGUUAGUGGUAGUGGUGGUAAUGGUGAUUCUGGCAUUAACAUUGUUAAUGAUUAAUCACUACUAAUGGCUUGUUGUAAAGAUAGAAAAUUAUCUUGCCUAUGAUUAAUCACUACUGAUGGCAUGUUUUAGAGAAAGAGAGAGAACUUUUCUGUGCUAUGAAAUACAAAGGAAUGUCUUUACUUUUGUGACUUGGACAGUAAACCCAUCACUCCUAACCUCGGGCCUGAGUCAUGUUUAAAUAGUGCAAAAAAGAAUUUUUACAUUAGUUUGUUAUUCGAAGAGUUCCUAACCAUGCUUCUGACUGGAAACUGGUACUAUCUAUUUCCUUGAUAUUUUCAGGCGGUCAACCCUAAAUAAUACAUCAGUCGCUGCAGCAGAAGUUCCUGUGCACCAUCAGGUUUGUUCUUUUAAUCAAUUUCCUUUCAACAUCUUCAAGCUCAUCUGAUUUACACAUGUAUCUUGGUUUACUUGUCAUUUGCGUGCAGGAUUAUGUUAUUUCUGAAGAAGAAAUCCAGAAGCUUGUAUCAAUGGGCUUUGAAAGGGUAAAAAACUUGAAAAUUCCUUUUCCUUGAUCAAAUGAGCUAACCAUCCUAUAUAGUAUACAUUUUCCUUAUCUAGCUUGAUUCAUAUUCGUAGAGUUGAAGAAUGCAAGGCUGGUUAUGAAAAAUGUUUUAGGAUCGAGGAGCAUAGUUUUAUGUUCAGCCUUAUAGCUGAUGCUUGCUUUAAUGAAGAAAUCUUUGAAUGUCACUAAAUGUCUUGGUAUGGGUUACAGACACAGGUAGAAGUUGCUCUUGCAGCUGCAGAUGGGGAUCUUAAUGUGGCAGUGGAAAUUCUGAGCCAACAGGUCUGUCUUUCAAACUCAUUUGUUUCCCAAAUUGUCGACUGUUGAGAUUUCUUGGUUUAAUAAUGGGGAUUGGGAAUUAUCUGCAGGGCUAAUCCAAGCAAGCGAGCUAACUAUUUGACUUCUCAAAAUGGACCUCGGUCGACCCGGUUUGAUGGGCCCGGUUCAUUUUCACGUUUAUGUAAAGUUCCAUGUUCAUUUUCACGUUUAUGUAAAGUUCCAUAUCUGUAUACUCUGUGUAUUGUUUGAGAGCAUGCUGAGAUUAUUUGGUCUGGGGGAAGGAAGAUUCUGAAUGGGAUACCACUACACACACUUAACAUCUGUUUAAAUGAAGGCAGAUAAGUAGUUUAUAACAUUUGACAGCAAUGGAAAAACUAGAGUUGUAAUAUAACAUCCACACCUUUAGCUUUGCAUUGUUUGUUACCCAUUAUCUACUUGUAUAGUGGUUCAUUUACGGCUUGUUUGGUAGUGCUUUUCUCGAAACGCAGAUCUAAUUUGUUUUCUCAAAUAGGACUUCAAUUUUGAGUAAAAUUUUUGUUGUGCUUAUAAUAAAAGUGGUUCUAUAGCAGAAUUGCUUCUAGAUAAGGACUCCCAAAGGGGAGCAAAAGCGUUUUCUACAUAAGCAUUUGUAAUGAUUACAUGGAAAGGAGCUUUUUCAAUUCACACCAUCUGUUAUUUAUUGAUACAUUUUAUUUCUCAUAUAUAAAAACCUAAUGCUUUCCAGACUCCUUGGGUGGCUUAACAAUUACAACUGGGCAUUUUGCGUGAUGUGCGCAGUAGUCACUCACGCUUCCUAUGAAUGUUCUGCACCACCCAACAAAAAACAAAAUUAAAUUAAAUUAAAUUAAUGAGGCAAAUAAAAUAGAAUAGAUGUUGUUUGGAUUUUGCGUGACAAUUGUAAGCAGGAAUUCCAAAUGAACAUAAACAAAAAAAUCACCUCUUGAUUAUGCCAAGGCCACGGCUGCCUACAACCAAAAGAUCCACAUGCAUCUGCUCUGUGGCUUGACAAAUCAUGUCCUUCGGAUCUCCACCUAGAAUUAGGGUUUCUGCUUUGAUCUGCACAAUUACUAAAAUCGUGUUAGUUAAGUUCACCCAAAUGCAUCACAAAACCUCUCAUCUAAUUAUCUGAACCCAUAAUUAGAAUCAUUAAUUGAGAAACUAAUAAUGCAAGAGAAAUCCUUAGAUACAUAAACCAACCUGAUAAAUGAUUAAUUCACAAAAUAACAACAUAAACAUUAAAACAUCGUGUGUGUGUGUGUGUUAAGAGUGCUAAUCUAUUGAGGGAUCUUAAACUUAUGCAAAGAAUCACUGCGAGACUCGACUCGCAUUGUAUUUCCACAAUCAGAACCAUUUAUUUUUUAAGUUUCAUUCAAAUCUAUUGUAUUUCCACGAUCAGAAUCGUCUAUUUUUUAAGUUUCAUUUACAUAUUUAAAAGGAUAGACAAUUCACAAAUUUAUCAUCUACAAAUUUGAUAAACACGGUGUUUAAAAAAACACACAAAAAUAACAACUAUUUAAGCGAGUGUCAAAAUGUGAAAAUAAAGAGUCCUACAUUGAAAAGUUAAGGAAACCUAAUAAAAACUUAUAAGGAGUUGAGUUACUCCCCUUAUAGUUAAUUAGUUUUGGAGUAGAACUUUAACUUCUUUCAUGAUAUAAGAGAGAACGUGUGAGAAUGUAGAUGUAAAAAAUCUCACAUUGAAAAGUUAAAAAACCUAACCAAGGACUUAUAAGAAGUUAGAUUACUCCCUAUUCCCAAUUGAUUUGAUUUUGAAGUAGAACUUCUAACUUCCUUUAAUAUUUCAUCCUACUAAACUAAAUUAAUUACCUUCUUAUCCUUGCAAAUCUCCAAAGCGCGGGCGAGUAUAGCGGCAGCCCUCUCUUCUUGUUCCUUGCGCAAUUCACCAGACACAGCAGCAGAGAGGACGUAGUUCUGGAACGGCUGCAUAACAUAAACAAGAGUCACCAUGCUCACAUUCUCAUGGCUCCCUGCAAGAGGUGCUUCCAGGGUCGCCGUGCCUGUGCUUGUAGCCACAUCAUCGGCGUUGUCCUUGGGCAGCACAAGAAGAAGGUCAAGGGCCCACUUGAGAGCAUAGAAGCUCCCCUCACUUCCGUCUAUGGCCACCACCACCCUCAUCUUCUCCUUCUUCCUCUGUUGCUCGUCGUCCCCGCUUUGCACCACUGCCUGCUCUGCAACUAUUGUUGUCUGCAUCACUUGCUUGGCUGAGAUAUCUUCUUGUUGUGUGGUUUUGUUGGUGCUUUUGAAUGGUAUAUAUACAUACAUACAUAUAUAUUCGUCGCUCUCUCUCUCUCUUUUCAUUUUUUUUUUCCCCUUAGAGGUGAAUUUCCAUUUGUUUCUUAUUUGUUUAGAUUGGAGGUAAAAGGACACGUUUAUGUACGUGGCAAUCACGCAAAUAGAAAAUUCCAAUUCCUCAUACAAUUUUGGCAUUUCCGUGGGGUAUAACUCUUUGUGUUUUACUAUUUUGGUGUCGUGUCAUCCUCGUGACCUGUGAAAUUCUUCUCAAUUUAAAUUUAAUUCGUAAUAUGUAAACUCAAGCUUAUUUGUGAAAGUAACACAUCGUGUCCUGUUUUAUCUGUCGACACUUGGAAAGUCGGGUGGUUUUAUCUGUCGACACUUGAAUUCGGGUGGGACUUUUGAUCGGAUCACAGUCAGAUUUUUAUUGGGUCAGAACAUAAUGGAUGAUCUUCUUUUUCUUACCGAAAGAGCAUGUCACCAAAGAAGCACUGGUGUAGUAUCAGUCAACUUUUUCUGAUGACAACGUCAUAAUUGAGUAAAGGUAUUCUGUUGAGAGGGCAAAUGAACAUAAUUUCUGGGAGUAGAGAAGUUAUUACCUUGUUUGAAUGUAAGUCAGGAAUAUUUAUAAGAGAUGAAGGAGAAAUAGAACUCCUGGCAGGAGGGGUGUCUCUAGCCAUGCUGCCAUCAUGGUUAGAGGGAAUGAUUUUGGCAUCAUGACUUCUUGUGCUUGUUACAAAAGGGAGACGAGCCAAUGGGGACACCUGAAAGGGAGUAGGAAUACAUUCUCUCUCCAACCAUAUGGUGGCACAUGUUCAAGUUGGUGAGCUUUGGGAGGUGGUCCGUUACUAGGUCCCAACUACCCCUAAUUCCCGGGGUGGAUCACUAAGAGUAUCGACUCCUUACACAACAUUUUUAGAUAAAAUUUAGGAGGAGGUGAGAAAACUCAACUCCAACCAUACUCUCUUUCCAACUCUUAAAAUAUGAAGGCCUAUAGAAGUUCUUAAAUUUGAUGAGAAAGAAAGAACUCUUAGAGGCUCCCUAUAAUUAAAUGAUGCUUUACUUUAAUGCUAACUAUUUUGUAUUAUUAUUAUCCGGUGGACUCCAUUCUUUUCUAUCAUGUGAGAAAACCUUGUUUGAUUGUCAACAGCCCUAGGAUUGGAUUCAAUAGUAGCUGAAUAAAUAGAUGGGGAUUCCUUUCAUAUGAAGAGUGAGUAUUUAUACUAAACUAAAAAAAUAAAUAAAUAAUUUAUGAUUCCCUAAACUAGAGAGGAUGGUUGGAAUUGAAAUUUUAUAAGGAGCUUCUAAAAUAGCUUCCUAGUGUUUUUAGCUAAAUUUUAACUGAAAAAUAAGGAACAUGAUUAUGGAUGCUCUAAGCGACCAAUGUGGUCUCGGCCCCCCUCACCUAUUUUAUAUUUUUAUAAAUAUAUUAUAUAUAUACUAAUACUUAUAUAUAUUGAUAUAUUUUAUAUUACCUUUAAUAUUUCAAGAAUUUCAUUUUCAUGCAUACCUCUUUUCUUAAAUUUACUAAAUCUGUUACUUUUUUAUUUUAUUUUUUUUUAUAACACAAAUCCUCAAAAUCUAAUUCUUUUUCAACUAUUUCUCUUUUUCUUUUUUUUUUUGUGGACACAAAAACUUCCUCCUUCCUCUUACAACCAUGUUUGUGACUUUUGUUUAUUUUUCUUAUUCUCCAUAUAAUAUAUUAUCAAAUUCCAAUUGAGUUAAGUUACUUAAUUCAGGUUUGUUAAAAUUUAUCUUUUAUUUAUUUAUUAUUUUCUCUCCACCUAUGAUUUGUUUGGGUUUCAGAAAUUUUUUAUUAUGUUCUCAUCACAUAUGGUUUGUAUAGAUUUUGGAAAUUUUGAUUUAUUCUCUACUUUGAGUUUAGUGAAUCUUCCAAAACAAUUAUGUGUAGAUUACCAAAUGAAAAAGUUGUAAAUAUAAUAUAUAUAGCUUCAGUUGAGGGAUUCCUCAAAUAAGUUUAUUUUAAGGACACUUUUGCAGGGUCCACUCCAUAUUGUAUUUCACUAAUUUAAACUGUCUAUUUUGUAGAUACUCAUUCAAAGAUCAUCUCUACAAAAAAUCACUUUCAUAUCAUUUGACGACUCAAUUAAAUUAUUGAAAUUUUAGUAUUUUCUUAAAGCACCGUGUUCAUUAAUUUUGUAGAACACAAUUUGAUAUCGAAACGGUCUCCGAUUUGUGUAAUUUUUUGCAAGAAUGAUCUACGAAUAUAGACUUAAAAAAUAGAUAAUCGCACUUCCAAACGGACACUCUUACCUUCAACUUGCCUCCGACCGAAGGUGCAUGAGUUAACCGAUCAGUAUCUAACACUUCUUCAUUUCGUCUUUAUAUUGAUGACGAGAAGACAAAUAUGCCCCUAAUUAUACCAUAUUUGUACUAAUUACAUGAAAAUGAACUUACUAUUUGACUUCUCAAAAUGGACCUCAGUCGACCCGGUUUGAUGGGCCCGGUUCAUGUUCACGUUUAUGUAAAGUUCCAUAUCUGUAUAUAUAUUCUAUAUUGUUUGAGAGCAUGCUAAGUCAAAGCACUACCAAACAUGUCCUAACUCGAAUUACGAUACAAGAAGAUAACUUGAAGCACGAUGUUAUAUUACAACUCUAGUUUUUCCAUUGCUCUCAAACAUCUUAUGAACUAUACUUCUAUGCUUUCAUUUAAAUCAUUUCAACAGAAACUAGUGUGUGUAGGGAUAUCCCAUUAGCUUCGACUUAAGGCUUGUUUGAUAGUGCUUCGACUUAAGGCUUGUUUGAUAGUGCUUCGACUUAGGACCUAUUUAGUAGUACUUUGACUUAGGGCUUGUUUAAUAAUGCUUUUCUCAAAACGCCUAUCUAAUUUGUUUUCUCAAAUAGGACUUUAAUUUUAAGUAAAAUUUUUAGGGAUAUGAUUUCCCCAAUCCCUUUUUCUCUACUUACACUCCCUUUUACUUUUUAAUACUUUUUAAUCAAUUUUGUUAAUUCUCUUUCCUAUUCUACCCUUACCCUACAUUAAUUUCAUUUUACUUCACCUUUAUAUUAGUUCUUUUUCUUUAUACUUCAUUUUCCAACUUGUAUUCUAUUUUCAAUAAUUUUUUUCUUCUUUUAAUCGAGUAAGAAAUUAAUUAAUUAUUUUUUUUAAUACUAAAAAUGGAGUGUAAAUUAAAAAAUUCAAUAUUUAAAAAAAUAAUAUUUAAAAAAAAAUUAAUGUAAGAUAAGGAUAGAAUAAAAAAGAGAAAGAACAAAAUUGAUUAAAAAAUAUUGAAAAGCAAUGGAGAAAUCAGCUCCCAAUUUUUAUUGUGCUUAUAAUAAAAGUGGUUCUAGAGAAGAAGUGCUUCUAGAUAAGCACUCCCAAACGGGAGCAAAAGCGUUUUCUACAUAAGCAUUUGUAAUGAUUACAUGAAAAGGAACGUUUUCAAUUCACACCAUCUGUUAUUUAUUGAUACAUUUCAUUUUCAUAUAUAAAAGCCUACUGCUUUCCAGACUCCUUGGGUGGCUUCACAAUUACAACUGGGCAUUUUGCAUGAUGUGCACAGUAGCUACUCACGCUUCCUAAGAAUGCUCUGCACCACCCAACAAAACAAAUUAUAAAAUAAAAUAAUAAUACAAAUCAAAGACAAUAGUGCUGAUGAAAAUUAAAUAUUUAUAAUUUUUUUUUUUUGGGGAUUUCGAGUGAAUUCCAAAUGAACAUCCUGAAUUUGACAGAGAAUAAUCUGAGUUCAGUAAACAUGUAAUAAGCUGUGUCUGUGUGGAUGGAGAAAAUCACCUCUUGACCAUGCCAAGGCCACGGCUACCUACAACCAGAAGAUCCACAUGCCUCUGCUCUGUGGCUUCGCAAAUCCUGUCCUUCGGAUCUCCACGUAGAAUUAGGGUUUCUGCUUUGAUCUGCACAUCAUGUUAAUUAAGUUCGUCCAAAAUGCAUCGCUACAAACCCAUAAUUAAAAUCCUUAAUAAAAAAAAUAUAAUUAAGAAACCAACCAACCUGAUAAAUGAUUAAUUCACAACAUAACAACAUAAACAAUUUUUUUUAAAUAUCAUAACAUAAAUUUUUUUUUUUUCCUUUCUACUAGCGAUAUUCUACUUUAAUCUGAUCAUCUAACCAUCUAACCUAAACUAUAGAGAAGAGGAAAAAAGGGAUUCAAACUUGAGUGCAAAGUGAUGAGUACGUCCGCAAUUCGGCUAAGCUCAUAACAACAUAAACAUUAAAACAUCGUGUGUGUUAGUGCUAUUCUAUUGAGGAAUCUUAAAACAUAUAUGUAAGGAAUCUCUCGUUAAUUACCAUCUUAUCCUUGCAAAUCUCCAAAGCACGGGCGAGUAUAGCAGCAGCCUUUUCUUCUUGUUCCUUGCGCAAUUCAGCAGACCCAGCAGCAGGGAGGACGUAGUUCUGGAACGGCUGCAUAACAUGAAUCAGAGUCACCAUGCUCACAUUCUCAUGGCUCCCUGCAUGAGGUGCUUCCAGGGUCGCCGUGCCUGUGCUUGUAGCCACAUCAUCGGCGUUGUCCUUAGGCCCCACAAGAAGAAGGUCAAGGGCCCACUUGAGCGCAUAGAGGCUCUCGUCACUUCCGUCUAUGGCCACCAUCACCCUCAUCUUCUCCUUCUUCCUCUGUUGCUCGUCGUCCCUGCUCUGCAAACUAUUGGUGUCUGCAACACUUGCUUGGCUGAGAUUUCUUCUUCUUCUUGUUGUGUGGUUUUGCUGGUGCUUUUGAAUGGGAUAUAUAUGUAUAUAUGUCGGUCUCUUUUCCUCAAAGGUGAAUUUCCAUUUGUUUGUUUGUAUUGGAGGUACAAGGACACGUUCGUGUACGUGGCAACCAUGCAAAUAGAAAAUUCCAAUUCCUCAUGCAAUUUUGGCAUUUCUGUGGGUAUUAUCGGUAUAUGAGAUGAGAUAGACCUCGACGCAACCCUUUGUGUUUUACUAUUUUGGUGUCCUGUUUUAUCUGUGGACACUUGGAAGAUCGGUGGGUUUUAUCCGUUGACACUUGGAAGGUCGGGUGGUUUUAUCCGUUGACACUUGGAAGGCCGGGUGGUUUUAUCUGUUGACACUUGAAUUCGGGUGGUCAACUGAGGAGUUUUGAUCGGAUUCGGAAUCAGAUUUUUAUUGGGUCAGAACGUAAUGGAUGAUCUUCUUCUUCUUACCAAAGUGCAGGUCGGACUUGAGAUUUUAAAGGCCAUGACGAAGUCGAAAUUAAAUCCUAUAUAUAUAUAUAUAUAGCUUCACAUAAAAUAUUUUAUUUUAUUUUAUUUACAUGUGUGUAAAAUAUUAGAAAAUAUAGCUUUGUAUAACUAUAAUAAAAAGUUUAGACCUUUAAACAAAAUAAAUUUUAUUUUUUUAUGUCUUCAUAUAUAAGAAAAGGAUGAUUAAAGACCAAAAAAAAACAUUAAAGUACUAAAAAGCAUACCAGCAAGUGGGGACACUUGGAAGGGAUUAGGAAUGCAUUAAAUUCUCUCUCCAAUCAUAUGGAUUACCCCUUGUUGGUCUUAGUUAGAUCUACACCUUCAGCUUUGCAUUGUUUGUUACCCAUUAUCUUCUAUGAUGUGCUUCGACUUGGGGCUGUUUAGUAGUGAUUUCUCAAAACACCUAUUAAGUUCUGUAAAUGAAAAUUCCAUUGUGUUUAUAAUAAACACGUUUCUAAAGCAGAAUCGCUUUUUUGAUAGAGUAAUGCUACAGACACCAACUUAAAUACCAACUUAGUGAUACCAACUUAUUUGGCACGUGACAUGUCAACCCAUGUCAUCUAUCAUCGCCUCACUUCCCAAAUCUGGUCAUGGUUUCAGUUAACAGACUAUACAGAUUCUGGUCAUCACCCAUAUUUUUAUCCAUCUUCCUCAUUUUUAUUAGUUUGAGCCAUCUUCCAUAUCAAGCAAUACAUCACACAACCCUUCAAUGCUGCAACUGUUUCGCAAUAUUGAUACUUACCAAGGAAUUCUCUUCUCAUUUAUGUAUCAGUGUCGUGGUCAUGUAUGAGAACUUUUUUGCAUACGUGAAGGCAUAGAAGAGUGUACAAACCUCGUUGCAGGGAGAGCCGUGAAGGCUGAAAUUGCUAUACAUAUCAGAUUGGUAGAGGUCAAACGUGGGGUGUGAGUAAUGAAGAUUUUUUAAGGAGGAGGACAUGGUAGAUUUGAGAAGGAUGGAAGGCGUGGAGAAGAAUUUAUUUAUUUAGGGUUUAAGUUUUAUUUAUUUUUAACUAAAUAAUUAAGUUAAUUAUGGCAAUUUUUUUUUUAAAAUUUAACUAAUAAAAAAUAAUAUGACAAAUAACAUAAAUUUUCAUGUGUCACAUAAGUUAAUAUUAAUAAACGCUUUAAAUAAAAGUUCUUUAAUGUGUCACAUAAGUUAAUAUUAAUAAACGCUUUAAAUGAAAGUGCUUUAAAUAAAAGUUCUUUAAUGUGUCACAUAAGUUAAUAUUAAUAAACGCUUUAAAUGAAAGUUCUUUAAACGGAUACUCUUUCUACAUGAAAACUACAUGAAAACUUAAAAAACGCUUUAAAUGAAAGUUCUUUAAACGGAUACUCUUCCUACAUAGGCGUUUCGUUUACUUUUCCUACAUAAGCAUUCCCAAACGGGCACUCCUACAUGAACGUUUCGUUUACUUUUCCUACAUAAGCAUUCCCACAUAAGCAUUCCCAAACGAGCACUCUUAACUUUGACUUGCCCUUCCGACUGAAGGUGCAUGAGUUAACCGACACUUCUCCAUUUCGUUGAUGACGAGAAGACAAGAAAUGCCCCUAAUUAUAUCUAUUAACAAUCUGAAAUUGGUCAACGUAUUAUGUACGUAGCUGGGAGUUUUGUAAUUAGAUGAACAAAAAACUUACCAGAAGAAAACCAUUCAUCAUAAUAAUAAUUACAUGAAAAGGAACUUUUACAGUUUACACCUUCUGCUCUUGAUACAUUUCAUAAUAAACAAAUAAAAACUCUAAUAAAAAGCUACUUCUUUCCAGACUCCUUUGGUGGCUUUCCAGACUCCUUAGGUGGCUUUCCAGACUCCUUAGGUGGCUUCACAAUUACAACUGGGCAUUUUGCAUGAUGUGCGCAGUAGUCACUAACGCUUCCUAAGAAUG